CCUACGGGAGGCAGCAGUGGGGAAUAUUGCACAAUGGGCGCAAGCCUGAUGCAGCCAUGCCGCGUGUGUGAAGAAGGCCUUCGGGUUGUAAAGCACUUUCAGCGGGGAGGAAGGCGGUGAGGUUAAUAACCUUAUCGAUUGACGUUACCCGCAGAAGAAGCACCGGCUAACUCCGUGCCAGCAGCCGCGGUAAUACGGAGGGUGCAAGCGUUAAUCGGAAUUACUGGGCGUAAAGCGCACGCAGGCGGUCUGUCAAGUCGGAUGUGAAAUCCCCGGGCUCAACCUGGGAACUGCAUUCGAAACUGGCAGUCUAGAGUCUUGUAGAGGGGGGUAGAAUUCCAGGUGUAGCGGUGAAAUGCGUAGAGAUCUGGAGGAAUACCGGUGGCGAAGGCGGCCCCCUGGACAAAGACUGACGCUCAGGUGCGAAAGCGUGGGGAGCAAACAGGAUUAGAUACCCCAGUAGUC
This 465-nucleotide ribosomal RNA is filed under the name uncultured Klebsiella sp. RNAcentral describes it as "bacterial SSU rRNA". It matches the Rfam family "Bacterial small subunit ribosomal RNA", at positions 338 to 795 of the family's 1533-position model. Lineage: Bacteria; Pseudomonadati; Pseudomonadota; Gammaproteobacteria; Enterobacterales; Enterobacteriaceae. The record is from RNAcentral.